CCUACGGGCGGCAGCAGUGGGGAAUAUUGGACAAUGGGCGAAAGCCUGAUCCAGCCAUGCCGCGUGUGUGAAGAAGGCCUUCGGGUUGUAAAGCACUUUCAGUGGGGAAGAAAGCCUUGGGGCUAAUACCCUCGAGGAAGGACAUCACCCACAGAAGAAGCACCGGCUAACUCCGUGCCAGCAGCCGCGGUAAUACGGAGGGUGCGAGCGUUAAUCGGAAUUACUGGGCGUAAAGCGCGCGUAGGCGGUCUGAUAAGCCGGUUGUGAAAGCCCCGGGCUCAACCUGGGAACGGCAUCCGGAACUGUCAGGCUAGAGUGCAGGAGAGGAAGGUAGAAUUCCCGGUGUAGCGGUGAAAUGCGUAGAGAUCGGGAGGAAUACCAGUGGCGAAGGCGGCCUUCUGGACUGACACUGACGCUGAGGUGCGAAAGCGUGGGUAGCAAACAGGAUUAGAUCCCCAGUAGUC
RNAcentral lists this ribosomal RNA (464 nucleotides) under Vreelandella stevensii. RNAcentral describes it as "partial 16S ribosomal RNA". It matches the Rfam family "Bacterial small subunit ribosomal RNA", at positions 338 to 795 of the family's 1533-position model. The record is from RNAcentral. Lineage: Bacteria; Pseudomonadati; Pseudomonadota; Gammaproteobacteria; Oceanospirillales; Halomonadaceae.